RNAcentral lists this ribosomal RNA (402 nucleotides) under uncultured bacterium. Its description in RNAcentral is "partial 16S ribosomal RNA". It matches the Rfam family "Bacterial small subunit ribosomal RNA", at positions 338 to 732 of the family's 1533-position model. The record is from RNAcentral.
CCUACGGGAGGCAGCAGUGGGGAAUAUUGCGCAAUGGGCGAAAGCCUGAUGCAGCGACGCCGCGUGAGGGAUGAAGGGUUUCGGAACGUAAACCUCUGUCAGCAUGGAAGAACGGUCACUGUGCUAAUCAGCAGUGAAUUGACGGUACCUGCAAAGGAAGCACCGGCUAACUCCGUGUCAGCAGCCGCGGUAAUACGUAGGGUUCGAGCGUGAAUCGGAAUUACUGGGCGUAAAGCGAUCGUAGGCGGUAUGUCAAGUCAAGGGUGAAAGCCCCGCGCUCAACGUGGGAACUGCUGUUGAAACUGGCAAACUGGAGUGUGUGAGAGGAUAGUGGAAUUCCAGGUGUAGGAGUGAAAUCCGUAGAUAUCUGGAGGAACAUCAGUGGCGAAGGCGACUAUCUGG